UACGUAGGUGGCAAGCGUUGUCCGGAUUUACUGGGCGUAAAGAGCGCGCAGGCGGUCGUUCAAGUCGCGUGUGAAAGCCCCCGGCUCAACUGGGGAGGGUCACGCGAUACUGAUCGACUCGAAGGCAGGAGAGGGAAGUGGAAUUCCCGGUGUAGUGGUGAAAUGCGUAGAUAGUCGGGAGGAACACCAGUGGCGAAGGCGACUUCCUGGCCUGUUCUUGACGCUGAGGCGCGAAAGCUAGGGGAGCAAACGGG
RNAcentral lists this ribosomal RNA (254 nucleotides) under uncultured bacterium. Its description in RNAcentral is "partial 16S ribosomal RNA". It matches the Rfam family "Bacterial small subunit ribosomal RNA", at positions 524 to 776 of the family's 1533-position model. The record is from RNAcentral.